GAGGGUAUAGCUCAGUGGUAGAGUGUACGCUUAGGGUGCAUGAGGUCAUGGGUUCAAUCCCCAGUACCUCCA
RNAcentral lists this transfer RNA (72 nucleotides) under Camelus bactrianus (Bactrian camel). It matches the Rfam family "tRNA". Rfam says of the family: Transfer RNA (tRNA) molecules are approximately 80 nucleotides in length. Their secondary structure includes four short double-helical elements and three loops (D, anti-codon, and T loops). The record is from Rfam by way of RNAcentral. Lineage: Eukaryota; Metazoa; Chordata; Mammalia; Artiodactyla; Camelidae. RNAcentral also lists the same sequence under 2 other names.